Long non-coding RNA from Alligator sinensis (Chinese alligator), 1211 nucleotides. RefSeq lists it as uncharacterized. The record is from RefSeq and is a predicted model, not a curated record. Lineage: Eukaryota; Metazoa; Chordata; Crocodylia; Alligatoridae. The transcript has 3 exons.
AGGUAGUGGGGUGAGGGCUGCCGCUAGGCCAGGUGGACAUGCCUGCCUACUCAAUGAGCACCAAUGGCCAACCUCCAGCCUGAAGAAGUGUUUGUCAGGCUAAGCACAUAGUCACUCUGGCUGAUUUCUUCAUUCAUGAAGACUAGCAAGCCUGGCCGUUUUAUACACAAACAAGAAAAAUGAUUUCUGAAGACUACAGUCACAGGAAGACCCCUCCAUGGAGAGUACCUUGCAUUCAGAAACUUGUCUGUCUUAUCCCAAGCAUGCUAUUGAUUCAAUAAAAGGUACCCCCCCACCUCCAGAGAAUGGCUCCUGCAAAGACGGACACUGGUUUCUGAAACCAAAUUGUCCCCAUGUAACUGCUUGCUCCUGUGGGGCUACUGGUGGGCAUUGGUCUUUGGAUUCAGGGCCUAAUAUGAACUUUCAAGCCCUUAUUCAGAUGCAUAACUCUUGAAAUCAAGGUGACUGCUAUGGAGGUGAAUACCACACACAUUAAUAAGGGUUUAAAGAUCGAGCUAGAAAGGGAUUCACAGAAGUUGAGGGCUGGAAGAGACCUUGUGAGAUCAAGUCGAGAGCCCCCCCUUGCUCUGAGCAGGAAAGACUGCUGGGGUCAAAUAAUCCCAGUGAAAACAACACAGGAGUGAAGAAGGCCAGAAAGGGAAAGGAAAACCAAGAUAGCCAAGAUGAGAGAGUGCAUUUACUUUUCAAGAAUAGGUACAGAUACAAGGGGCAAGGUGAUUAAUGACAGCAAGUGAGACGGAAGUACUCCCACAAAUAGCUUGCUAAGGAUCUUGCCUGAAGAACAAAGGAAAGAGUUCAGCAGCAAUUGUUAACAAAGGAACUGCUAUCUCAGAGGUGUUUCUGGGCAUUUUUGGAAAAGAAUGGGUUGCCAAAACCAGAGCCUGAAUGCUAAUUUGAGAGAAAAGAGUUAACAUAAUAAAAGCUGGUAAUGCCUGCAACAUGUACAGUCUGGCAUAUGUUCACAACUUGUGCAUCUGCACUAUCAGAAGACACUGCUGUGGAGAGCUUGAUCUCCCAUUUCAAGCACUCUCCUGCUGUCUCCAAGCUGCACAGCACACAAAGCCCUGUUACUGAUCUGACUCUAGGUGUCGUGAUCAGCAGGAGGAUCACCAUUUACUGCACAACUGACUCAGACCAUAUGACUGGACAGAAAAAGGACACUCACACUCUUUUGUUCAGAAGAAUUAAAU